GAUGAAGAACGUAGCGAAAUGCGAUACGUAAUGUGGAUUGCAGAAUUCAGUGAAUCAUCGAAUCUUUGAACGCAUAUUGCGCUCUCUGGUAUUCCGGAGAGCAUGCUUGUUUGAGUAUCAGUAAACACCUCAACUCCCUUUUCUUUUUUGAAAUGGGAGCUGGACUUGAGUGAUCCCAACACUUUUCUCACUGGAAAGUGGCGGGUCACUUGAAAUGCAGGUGCAGCUGGACUUUUCUCUGAGCUAUAAGCAUAUCUAUUUAGUCUGCCUAAAAAACAGAUUAUUACCUUUGCUGCAGCUAACAUAAAGGAGAUGAGUUCUUGUGCUGACUGAUGCAGGAUUCACAGAGACAGCUUUGCGGCUGACUUUGUAAACUCGAUCUCAAAUCAAGUAAGACUACCCGCUGAACUUAAGCAUAUCAAUAAGCGGAGGA
Molecule: unclassified non-coding RNA, 433 nt
Filed under: soil metagenome
Description: partial contains 5.8S ribosomal RNA, internal transcribed spacer 2, and large subunit ribosomal RNA
Rfam family: 5.8S ribosomal RNA (bases 1-120)
Source: RNAcentral